RNAcentral lists this long non-coding RNA (5659 nucleotides) under Sus scrofa (pig). Its description in RNAcentral is "lncRNA (ENSSSCG00000048146.1)". Lineage: Eukaryota; Metazoa; Chordata; Mammalia; Artiodactyla; Suidae. The record is from RNAcentral.
GGAGACCUUUUGAAAACAGACUCACCGAUAAGUGGAGGGAAUUCCCUUCCCCAUAGUCAUUCCCACAGGGGUUCAAAACGAGCUCUUUCCAAAGAGGACAGAAGAUGAGAAACUUUGUCUAGAAAGGACCUGAUAGCAAAUAUUCUAGAUUCUGCAGACUCUACACUCUCUGUCUCAACUACUCAGCUCUUCCACUGCAGCAGGAAGGCAGCCAUAAAUAAUACUUAAACAAGCAAGGGUCUGUGCGCCAAGAAAACCUUAUCAACAGACUCUGAAGUUGGGAUCGCCCAGAAUUUUGAUGUUUCGUGGACUGUUAUUCUUCUUUGGAUGUUUUUCAGUUCUUCAAAAAAGUAAAAACCAUUCUUAGCUUGUAGACCAUAUAAAAGUAGGUGACAGGUGGGACUUGACCGAGGGCCAUGGGGUGGAAGGUGCCGCUCUGGUUUUACUUGUGGUGGUUGCCGGCUUGGUUUUGGCCAGUCUGGGCUGAGCCACCAUCUAUGCUCGUUUAUCAUGGUCCCUUCAAGGGCCCAAGCCUGUUCGCAUCCUUGGGAUUGCUUGGGAUUUGUUCCUGUGGGUGCUUCACUGGACACAUUUGCCUCCAGGUCCCCCCAUGGCUAAUCUUUUCUCAUCUUUCAGUCUUUUAACUCUAAUGUCCCCUCUUGAGAGGCCUUCUCUGGCCCUUUCUCAAUGUACCCACCGUUAUAUUCACACCUACAACCACGCAUUUCCCCAUCACCUGCUUCACCUUCUGCACAGCACUUGCCUUACCUGCUGUGGUCCCACAUCUGCCCACUGCCUCCUCUCCCCAUGUGAGACAAACCCUUGCAGGCAGAAGACCUGUCUCUUGUGUUCCCUGCUGUGUCCCUUGUAUUGAAGCUGUACCCAGUGUCCUGCACCAAGCAAAUCCUUCUCCGAUAUUUGUUGAAAGAAGUUGCUAAGUGUUCACUAGCCAAGCAAGAGCCAAAAAGUACACAGCCAAAGUUUUGUUACCUUACCUGGUCCAGGGGGCAUCAAGCCUUGUCAUCAGCAUCAUUGUGUAAAUUUGUAAUAAUAACUUUUGGUAGCAGCUGAUUACGCUUUUCAAAUACAACCUCAUAUGGAGGCCUGUGUGGGUGCAAAACAGAUAAAAUGACAUUGCUUUGCUUGAAAUGAAGGUAGGAAGUUCCAAAAAAGACGCUCUUGGGCACACACCCCUAGUUGCCCCUUCUGGAAAUUUCCACAUCCCCUUCACUUCUAAGAAGCUCUUUGAGAGUCUCUGCUCCAGUCUGAAACUGACACUUGAGACAACCCUUUCCUAGUAACUCCAAGGCUGCCGGGAAGCUCCUUCUGCCCUUCACAUAUGAGCUAAAGAAUCAUGGAGUCAAUAAAUUCUAAGAAACUCCUUUCAAACCAUCCAAGGGCUUUCCUCUUCCAAAAGGCAUUUGAAACCCUGCUCAAAAUUAAAUUCUGAAGGAGAGCUGUGGUGCCCCACUGGCCAUCAGAUUGCUUCAUGAUUUUGUGGAAUGUGCUGAGCCUCAAUUUAUUUUUAAAAAGGCCUUCAUGGGAGUCCCCACUGUGGCACAAUGGGUUAAGGAUCCAGCAUUGUCUCUGCAGCAGCUCAGAUCGCUGUGGAGGCACAGGUUCAAUCCCUGGCCCUAAAGAAUGGUUAAGGAUCUGGCAUUGCAGCAGCUGUGGUGUAGAUCAUAGAUCGAAGCUGCGGCUCAGAUUCCACCCCUGGCCUGGGAACUUUCAUCUGUGCAAGUACGGCCAAAAAGAAAUAAAAAAUAAAAAGGCCUUAAUAGUACCUGCUCUUCCCACCUCACAGCUCAGGCAGGGGCUGCAAGGGAACAAAUAGAAUAUGCACUUUCCAGACUGUGGAAGAACAGGCUGUGCUUCUAGGCCAGCGUGAUCAGUUCCAAGCUCUGAACACUUGCCCUGCUCUGGCUACUAUAACAAAAUACCACAGACCGGGAGGCUUAAACAACAGAUGUUUAUUUUCUCACAGUUCUGGAGGCCAGAAGUCCAAGAUCAAGGCGCUGGCAGGGGUGGUUCCCUGAGGCCUCUCUCCUUGGCUUGCAGAAGCCCACCCUCCUGCUGCCUCGUCAGUGGUCUUUCCUCCUCCGUGUGCACACAGCCGAGGUGCCUCUCCAGGCCCUAAUCUCACAGGGAACACCCGUCAGAUGGAAUUAGGGCCCAGCCUAAUGGCCUCACCUUCACUGGAUCACCUCUUUAAUGGCCCUUGCUCCAAAUCCUGAGUACUGGGGUUAGGUCCUCAACAUGAAUUUGAGGGGGGGGACACAAUUCAGGCCAUAACCCUGGCUUCCGAGUUGUUUGCCAGUAGUUUUUGUCACUGUUCCUUUAACAUCCAUGGUUGCUCCUCCCUUCCCGCCCGACCUUGGAGGCCCGUAGGUCGCUAUGGAAACCCUUGACAUCAACUUCAUUGCCGCAAAAGAGGAGAGGUCCAGCCCAGGCUUCGUUUAUAGCUAUGCUUGGAAGGAGGAAAAGUUUUCUAGUAAAUUUUAUACGAGACAUUUAAAGUACAUAUCACUGCUUCUCAACAGCUGAUUUGGGGGCGGAGGAAAAGUCUUGAAUUCCUUCAAGAAAGAAAACCUGGUUCAGUGUUUUCUCUGCACAAAUAGGAUCCCAGGGGAGCGUGUGAAGGGUCUCCCGGGCAGUGCUGUCCGUCCGGUGGGAAAGGAGGGGAGGGGGCGGGGCUCAAAUCCUGGCUGCACCCUUUACAGUCACGGUGACCCGGGCACCUCAUGAUCCCAGAAGUCCGCUGACCCUUCGUAAAAUGACACUGCCCAUAAGGACCACUUCCGCUUCAUUGCGGGGCCCUCUCUGCACCAGGUGAGCCUCAUUAUCUGAUAAUACCAUUGGUUUAACACCGAAAAGCAAACAAAGAAACCAACCCCAGGAACUUGGAGGUCUCCUAUGAUUUCUUCCUUUGUAAGGAAAUUGGGUUGCUCGGUCUUAUAACUAGACCAUUUGGGCUGGGACUUGUCAUAAGGUGAUUUGCGUUGUGGGUUGUUUUUGGUUUGUUUUGGUUUUUAAUUUUUCAUACCUGUGUGUGUUGAGAAGGGAUUUAGUCUAGAGAGAAAUGCUGAUUUGGGCGUGAGGAGGGGAAAGAGAGAAGGAAGCAAGAAACGUCGUAGUAGAAUUGCACGAGGCAACUGAUUCUACCUGGGCUCUGCAAGAAGGGUGAAUUGAUUAAAUGGCAAUAAUCAAUCCAUCCAUCCAUCGAUCAGUCAUUCAAUCAAUCCGUCGUACAUCAGGUUGUUCUCAUCUUGCCAGCACAUUAGCAUCCCCUGGGGCAGGAGUUCCCAUUGAGGUUCAGCAGGUUAAGAACCUGACAGAGUCUCCAUGAGGAUUCGGGUUUGAUCCCUGGCUUUGCUCAGUGGGCUAAGGAUCGGGUGUGGCUGUGGCUGUGACCUGAGCCUGCAGUUGCAGCUCUGAUUUGACCCCUAGCCUUCAAACUUCCACAUGCUGUGGGUGCAAACAUAAAAAGAAAAAAGGAGUUCCUGUCAUGGUGCAGCAGAAACGAAUCCGACAAGGAACCAUGAGAUUGCAGGUUUGAUCCCUGGCCUCACUCAGUGGUUAAGGAUCUGGUGUUGCUGUGAGCUGUGAUGUAGGUUGCAGACGAGGCAGAUGCUGUGGCUGUGGUGUAGGCCGGAAGCUGUAGCUCUGAUUAGACCCCUAGCCUGGGAACCUCCAUAUGCUGUGGGUGUGGCCCUGAAAAGACAAAAGACAAAAAAAAAGAGAAUCCCCUGGGGAACUUUUAAAAACCCCAAUGCCCAAGCCAUACCCCAGACCAACUAAGGCAGAAUCUGGGAAAUUGUGGGCAUCAAUGGUGCCCGGGCAGCGGUGCUGUGAAGCUCCCAGGAAACCCCCAUAUGGAAUGGAGCCAGCAUGGAGAGCUGGCUCAGAGGCCAUCAGAUAACUCUGUGCCACUUAGUGGCUGUGACCUUGGACAAGAGGCGCAACAUCUCUGAGCCUCAACUUCCUCCUUCCUCUUUGAUCUUGAGGAUUGAAUCAGACGUACUUGGUUAAACAGUUGGGUUCCAGAUCAAGAACAGAAAUAACAGACAAGUAAUGGAUGUCUCUUGUUUCUUUUCUCACCAUCACCCAAUGGACGUGAAGGUGGGGCCUCCAUGUCCCCGUCUGCAAAAUGGCAAAGGUGGGAGGACCCCAGAGGUCAUUCGCUCUCCUGUCUACGAUUCUGCAAAGGUAGAGCAGUGGGUGAAGUACGAAGAAAGCUCGUUUCUUUAUGGAGUGACACCCAGAGGCCACUGGGCUGGCACCUUGGAGUCUUGUGAACUAGGCAGUCACCAUGCCUGCCCUCCUAGACUCUGAAGGCUACUGAGAGGCAAGGUUAAACCAUAUUCACACAAACCAGUGCAUUGUUCAUGACUAAUGGAGGGCAAGAGAGAGGAAAUUUGGGGACCUGGUCUAGGUUCUGGGAUAAGAAAAGAUCCCUCUGGAGUUCCCAUUGCGGCGCAGCAGAAGAGAAUCUGACUAGGAACCAUGAGGUUGUGGGAUCAAUCCCUGGCCUCGCUCAGUGGGUUAAGGAUCUGGCGUUGCCGUGAGCUGUGAUGUAGAUCGAAGACGCGGCUCGGAUCCUGUGUUGCUGUGGCUGUGGUGUAGGCCAGCAGCUACAGCUCCCACUGGACCCCUACCCUGGGAACUUCCAUAUGCCACAGGUAUGGCCCUAAAAAGCAAAAAAGAAAAGAAAAGGUCCUUCUGAUGACAUGACAUUUAAAAUAGUGGGUGAGGAGUUCCUGUUGUGGCUCAGUGGGUUAGGAACCCAACUAGUAUCCAUAAGCAUGCGGGUUUGAUCCCUGGCUUUGCUCAGAGGGUUAAGGAUCCGGCAUUGCCACGAGCUGUGGCACAGGUCACAGACGAGGCUUGGAUUUUGUGUUGCUGUGGCUGUGGCAUAGGCCGGGGACAACAGGUGCAAAGAUUGUGAGGAGGGGAGGAAUACGACAUUUUUGCAGAGAUUCUGUUUAAACCAUAAGUAAAUGAAUAAAAGAACCUCUUUUCUUUCUUAGAGCAUCUCAGGGGACCGGGGCUCCCCACAGUGUCCUUUGGGAGACAAUGGUAGAAUCAGAUGAGAGACUAGGUUUGAGUUCCAGGCAAAUCUUGAUCUUAUUCCAGCUUCACAGGAAAUAUUUGUGUGGGCGGAGGAGACAGUUUAACCUCCUGAACCUCUGCUUCUUCAUUUGUAAAGAGGAAAUAAUAAGUCAUAUUUUCCCCAUCUUUUGUGAGGAUUGGUAACUAUCGAUCACUCUCAAAUUGGCAAAGGGUAAAAUGGUUACUAUUACGAAGUUGUAUAGCCCUUGGUGAGAGAGAAACCUGGUUCAAAUCCCAGUACUGCCAUUUCCCAGGCAUAUAACCUUGGUCCCAUCACUUAAAUCUCUGACCCUCUGUUUACUGACCUCUGAUAAAGGGGGUUCAUAAGAGCUACCUUUGGAGACUGUUGUAAGAAUUAAAUAAAACAAUGCGGUCAAGUUCAGGCAAAGGGUAGGCAUAAAUGAAAUGAUCAUUAAAAGGAAGGGAGAUUCUUCUCUUGGAAAAGGGGAGGGUUUGCCUGAAUUAUGUAAACGUGGUUUCCAAUCCAUCAACCGCCUUGCUCAGUGUAGACAUAUCGCAAACAGUGCCACCAUGGGUUUAGACACAUAAU